GAUGAACGCUGGCGGCGUGCCUAAUACAUGCAAGUCGAGCGAACGGACGAGAAGCUUGCUUCUCUGAUGUUAGCGGCGGACGGGUGAGUAACACGUGGAUAACCUACCUAUAAGACUGGGAUAACUUCGGGAAACCGGAGCUAAUACCGGAUGAUAUUUUGAACCGCAUGGUUCAAAAGUGAAAGACGGUCUUGCUGUCACUUAUAGAUGGAUCCGCGCUGCAUUAGCUAGUUGGUAAGGUAACGGCUUACCAAGGCAACGAUGCAUAGCCGACCUGAGAGGGUGAUCGGCCACACUGGAACUGAGACACGGUCCAGACUCCUACGGGAGGCAGCAGUAGGGAAUCUUCCGCAAUGGGCGAAAGCCUGACGGAGCAACGCCGCGUGAGUGAUGAAGGUCUUCGGAUCGUAAAACUCUGUUAUUAGGGAAAAACAUAUGUGUAAGUAACUGUGCACAUCUUGACGGUACCUAAUCAGAAAGCCACGGCUAACUACGUG
Molecule: ribosomal RNA, 497 nt
Filed under: uncultured bacterium
Lineage: Bacteria
Description: partial 16S ribosomal RNA
Rfam family: Bacterial small subunit ribosomal RNA
Source: RNAcentral